GCCUGGGUGGCUCAGUCGGUUGAGCAUCCCGCUUCGGCUCGGGUCGUGAUCUCACAGUUUGUGGGUUCGAGCCCCACAUCGGGCU
RNAcentral lists this transfer RNA (85 nucleotides) under Felis catus (domestic cat). It matches the Rfam family "tRNA". Rfam says of the family: Transfer RNA (tRNA) molecules are approximately 80 nucleotides in length. Their secondary structure includes four short double-helical elements and three loops (D, anti-codon, and T loops). Further hydrogen bonds mediate the characteristic L-shaped molecular structure. tRNAs have two regions of fundamental functional importance: the anti-codon, which is responsible for specific mRNA codon recognition, and the 3' end, to which the tRNAs corresponding amino acid is attached (by aminoacyl-tRNA synthetases). tRNAs cope with the degeneracy of the genetic code in two manners: having more than one tRNA (with a specific anti-codon) for a particular amino acid; and 'wobble' base-pairing, i.e. permitting non-standard base-pairing at the 3rd anti-codon position. Lineage: Eukaryota; Metazoa; Chordata; Mammalia; Carnivora; Felidae. The record is from Rfam by way of RNAcentral.